Molecule: ribosomal RNA, 634 nt
Filed under: uncultured bacterium
Lineage: Bacteria
Description: bacterial SSU rRNA
Rfam family: Bacterial small subunit ribosomal RNA
Source: RNAcentral
GACGAACGCUGGCGGCGUGCUUAACACAUGCAAGUCGAACGGUGAACCACUUCGGUGGGGAUCAGUGGCGAACGGGUGAGUAACACGUGAGCAACCUGCCCCUGGCUCUGGAAUAACUACGGGAAACCGUGGCUAAUACCGGAUAUGACCACUUCUCGCAUGGGAUGGUGGUGGAAAGUUUUUCGGCUGGGGAUGGGCUCGCGGCCUAUCAGCUUGUUGGUGGGGUAGUGGCCUACCAAGGCGACGACGGGUAGCCGGCCUGAGAGGGCGACCGGCCACACUGGGACUGAGACACGGCCCAGACUCCUACGGGAGGCAGCAGUGGGGAAUAUUGCGCAAUGGGCGGAAGCCUGACGCAGCGACGCCGCGUGAGGGAUGACGGCCUUCGGGUUGUAAACCUCUUUCAGCGCCGAAGAAGCGAAAGUGACGGUAGGCGCAGAAGAAGCACCGGCUAACUACGUGCCAGCAGCCGCGGUAAUACGUAGGGUGCAAGCGUUGUCCGGAAUUAUUGGGCGUAAAGAGCUCGUAGGCGGUUUGUCGCGUCGGAUGUGAAAACCCAGGGCUCAACUCUGGGCCUGCAUUCGAUACGGGCAGACUAGAGUUCGGUAGGGGAGACUGGAAUUCCUGGUGUAGC